RNAcentral lists this transfer RNA (88 nucleotides) under Armatimonadota bacterium. Its description in RNAcentral is "Armatimonadetes bacterium (hot springs metagenome) tRNA-Ser". It matches the Rfam family "tRNA". Rfam says of the family: Transfer RNA (tRNA) molecules are approximately 80 nucleotides in length. The record is from RNAcentral. Lineage: Bacteria; Bacillati; Armatimonadota.
GGAGAGGUGCUGGAGUGGUUGAUCGGGGCGGUCUCGAAAACCGUUGUGGCGCAAGUCACCGUGGGUUCGAAUCCCACCCUCUCCGCCA